Molecule: unclassified non-coding RNA, 244 nt
Filed under: plant metagenome
Description: partial contains small subunit ribosomal RNA, internal transcribed spacer 1, and 5.8S ribosomal RNA
Source: RNAcentral
UCUCCGUUGGUGAACCAGCGGAGGGAUCAUUACCGAGUUACAACUCCCAAACCCAAUGUGAACGUUACCAAACUGUUGCCUCGGCGGGGUCACGCCCCGGGCGCGUCGCAGCCCCGGAACCAGGCGCCCGCCGGAGGAACCAACCAAACUCUUUCUGUAGUCCCCUCGCGGACGUUAUUUCUUACAGCUCUGAGCAAAAAUUCAAAAUGAAUCAAAACUUUCAACAACGGAUCUCUUGGUUCUG